GAUGAACGCUAGCUACAGGCUUAACACAUGCAAGUCGAGGGGUAACAAGAGAAAAGCUUGCUUUUCUUGUUGACGACCGGCGCACGGGUGAGUAACGCGUAUCCAACCUGCCUAUAACUAGGGAAUAACCUUGCGAAAGUAAGACUAAUACCCUAUGAUUUCCUUUGAUGACAUCAGAUUAGGAAGAAAGAUUUAUCGGUUAUAGAUGGGGAUGCGUCUGAUUAGCUUGUUGGCGGGGUAACGGCCCACCAAGGCAACGAUCAGUAGGGGUUCUGAGAGGAAGGUCCCCCACAUUGGAACUGAGACACGGUCCAAACUCCUACGGGAGGCAGCAGUGAGGAAUAUUGGUCAAUGGGCGGAAGCCUGAACCAGCCAAGUAGCGUGCAGGAUGACGGCCCUAUGGGUUGUAAACUGCUUUUAUACAGGAAUAAAGUUAGCCACGUGUGGUUAUUUGUAGGUACUGUACGAAUAAGGACCGGCUAAUUCCGUGCCAGCAGCCGCCGUAA
RNAcentral lists this ribosomal RNA (506 nucleotides) under uncultured bacterium. RNAcentral describes it as "partial 16S ribosomal RNA". It matches the Rfam family "Bacterial small subunit ribosomal RNA", at positions 28 to 523 of the family's 1533-position model. The record is from RNAcentral.